Molecule: ribosomal RNA, 253 nt
Filed under: uncultured bacterium
Lineage: Bacteria
Description: partial 16S ribosomal RNA
Rfam family: Bacterial small subunit ribosomal RNA
Source: RNAcentral
UACGUAGGGGGCAAGCGUUGUCCGGAAUUAUUGGGCGUAAAGAGCUCGUAGGCGGUCUGUCGCGUCCGUUGUGAAAACUCGAGGCUCAACCUCGGGCUUGCAGUGGAUACGGGCAGACUAGAGUGCGGUAGGGGAGACUGGAAUUCCUGGUGUAGCGGUGGAAUGCGCAGAUAUCAGGAGGAACACCGAUGGCGAAGGCAGGUCUCUGGGCCGCAACUGACGCUGAGGAGCGAAAGCAUGGGGAGCGAACAGG